Podarcis lilfordi (Lilford's wall lizard) is the source of this 6554-nucleotide non-coding RNA. The record is from the annotation of a GenBank genome assembly. Lineage: Eukaryota; Metazoa; Chordata; Lepidosauria; Squamata; Lacertidae.
GUUGCAACGCGCCUGCGCGGUCGGGGUAGGGCCGGCGGAAGAAUCCGGCUCGCUUCCCGGCUCUCCGGGGGGGCGGCUGGAGGCGGAGGGGCCCGAGCCAGGCUCCGUGCGAGGGGCUCCCUUGGCGAGGAGCGGGGUCAGCAGCCCCCCCCCCCCGAGACCGCGGACGAGAAACUCCAGAGGUUUCCUUGGGGUCCUUUGGCCAGCCCCCCCCGGGGCCAGAGGGGUCUGCUCUGCUGCCCCCCCCGGACCGCUGUGAGGCCCCAGCGGCGGCAGGAUUCUUCCCCGGAGGCGCCCCGAGGAGACGCGGCCAGUUGGGCCGCCCCCGCCUCUCGCCCGCCCCUUGCAGCUGCCCGGGGGGGGGGGGGGCGGGGGGUUCUGCACCCCCCCGGUCCCAAUCUGGCCAACCUCUCCGUAGACCAGCCUCCGCUCCAGCCCCAGGCUCCCGUCUCCAUCCCGGCAGGGCCAGCUUCUGGGGGGAGAAGGCAGCUUGGCAGGUGGGGGGCAGCUCCGGAUUUAGGAUGGUUCCGGCAGUUGCCCCACACAGAGCGCCAAGCAAAGGGGUUGCAAAAUUGAGAAGAUGCAUUUUGGGGGCACCAAGUUUUGGCCUUGCACAGGCCCCCAUAUUUAGGAAAGAUUCUGGUCUGGACUGAGCUCUUCCUUUCUUGGGUAUUUUUGAUAUGGACUCCAAGGAAAGUUGAAAGGCUUGCAAGUUCUCCCCAGAGGUGCAACACGGUACUGAAGAAAAUGUAUUGGUUUACCUGUUUUGUGUCCCUUGUCUUCUAGCGCAGCAAGAAUACUCUCCCUGGAAGCCUGCCAUUAGCUGGCUGGUCCAAAGCAGUAGGUGAGGUUUCAGCUCACCACCUUGGCCCCCUGUCUGCUGGCCGGCAUCGCCCGUCUAGGGUGCUGAGUACUGCAGUUUCAGGAGAAGCCACAACAGGCAAACUUCCUUUCCUGCAUUACUGUUCAUUGUAGUUUUGUUCGAAUUAAAUUACCAUUGCAUGUGGAUACAUUCACUGCUUCUUUAAAAUGGGGGGGGGGACAGCUUGAGGGGGGCCAGUUUAGGUAAAAGCAGCAGUGUGAGGGCUGUUUUAGCCUUUCUCUGCCUGCCACUCUACCCCCAACUGCUGCUGCGUCUGUGUGGUGCUGAAUCCAUGUUUGUGAGGGUGGAGUGUGAAAACAAACUGGAAAUAGCUUGAAAGAAAGAAAUCUUUCAGUGAAGAAGCAGGGUAUGGAGGGGGGGGGGGGCUUUCCCUGCGCAUUCUCUACUUAAACCACCCUCUUCCAACAGUGUGCUUUUGAAAUAAGUAGUAGAUGACAGCUCUUACUUUCAUGCAUCUGCUUGCAUUGUUGAUGAGACAGGCGCUUGCAAAGCCUGUUAUUCUGUGAGGUUUGCUCCCAUUUGCGCUUUCUCCUCCAGCUCCAGCAGUCAUUGUUUCUUCAGAACUCUGUUAUGCAUCCUAGUCCACCCCCCCCCCCCAGGAGAAAUGUAUGUGUCAGCUAAGUGGAAACUUGGAGAUUGCAACUUGAAAUGUUGUCUGUGGUAUGGUGUAAUAUUUCUCACUGGAACCUUCUUCCCGUUUCUCUGCUUUUCCUCAAGUCUCACUUCCCAGCUGUUUUCCCAGGUUCCUCUUUUUUCCUUCUAUUGCCUUGCUGCCUGCUUCCACCGGCCACCUUGCCCUGGUCUCUCCACCCCUUAGUUUUAACUGUCUCCUGUGAUCUCUUUCUAGUCCUCAGCCUUCCCCAUAAAGCUCUGCCUCUUCCUAGGGCCUGUGUGGUGUUUUAAUCUUAGCCAAAAUGACAACAUUCCUUUUUAACCUACAAGUUGAACUGAAAUAUUCUGGCAACUGUGCUCACUCAGCUCUUUGAUAAUAAUCUGUCAGAAGUGCAAUACAAUAUAGUGAGUACCCCCCCCUUAAUUUAAAAAAUAUAUAUAUAGGCAUAGUUUCUAUUCGCAUUUCACUGUCUUUUUUCAGUGCAGCAAUGUGCUUGAGUUGUGUUACCAUUAAAUACUUGGGCAGCCCAGUGUCUGGUGAUGUAGCAACUGCUAAACACAUUAUGGAGCUGUUACCAUUAUUGUGGUGUUAACAUUGUAAUCUUCUCAGGUAUUUAAUUACUUUUCCAAAGGCAUCUAUAAAUUAUCUUUCUAAGCAGUGUGCCAACUGAGACAUUAAAAUGCAGCUUUUCAUUUAGAAAGGUUGCUGAAAAAUAAUUCAGUCUUGUGGUUGGCUUUCUUAUUUUAGUCUAUUACCCCAGCCUGUCUAAAACCAACAUCCGUUUAUUUUUAAUCUGUAUUAGCUACCGGGGGGGGGGUGUUGUGAAUUUUAAAAAACACACUACUUACUCAGGAUAAUAUAUAUUUUGGGUUUAUGAGCACAAUAUUUCAAAGUAAUGUGUAGGUAGUUUUCAGCCGUAGUUGCAGGUGUUAAAGCUCAGUUGCAAAUGGCAUGUGCUAGUUUUCUGUCAUUGUACUAAUGCUUCACACACUACCUUGCUAAUGCACAAAGGUUGAAAAUAAUCCACAUUCCUCUGGCAGAUCAGGGGUUAGUUUGGGUCCCAUAGGCUGCCUGUUCUAUCUGAGGAUACACUCACACCUUUGUAGUACAGCAGCUGUUCUGCCUUUGGGCAGUCGGUUCUUGGAUGUGCAGAUCCAGGAAACCCCGUCCACUGAGAGCAUGCUGCUCUGUUUUCAUAAUGUUAAUUUAAAGCCUUGUUCACGGAUGGUUUAAUAACAAGAUGCCAUAGCAUAAUGACUACUUUUUGCACAGCUGUGCAGUCAAGUUUGGAUUUGUAGCCAGGUAUUUGCUGGCCACAUGACCCGGAAGCUGUACACCGGCACCCUCAGCCAAUAAAGCGAAAUGAGCGCUGCAACCCCAUAGUCGGUCAUGACUGGACCUAAUGGUCAGGGGUCCCUUUACCUUUUAUUUCAGGGAUGCAGGUGGUGCUGUGGGUUAAACCACAGAGCCUAGGACUUGCCGAUCAGAAGUUCAGCGGUUCGAAUCCCCGCGGCCGAGUGAGCUCCCGUUGCUCGGUCCCUGCUCCUGCCAACCUAGCAGUUCGAAAGCACAUCAAAGUGCAAGUAGAUAAAUAGGUACUGCUCCGGCAGGAAGGUAAACGGCGUUUCCGUGCACUGCUCUGGUUCGCCAGAAGCGGCUUAGUCAUGCUGGCCACAUGACCCUGAAGCUGUACGCCAGCUCCCUCGGCCACUAAAGCGAGAUGAGCGCCGCAACCCCAGAGUCGGCCACGACUGGACCCAAUGGUCAGGGGUCCCUUUACCUUUUAUUUCAGUUACAGUGGUACCUCUAGUUACGAACUUAAUUUGUUCCGGAGGCCUGUCCUUAACCUGAAACUGUUCUUAACUAGAGACGUGCUUUCGCUAAUGGGGCCUCUUGUUGCCGCUGCGCCACAGGCACACAAUUUCCGUUCUCAUCCUGGGGCAAAGUUAUCAACUCGAGGUAACUCUUCCAGGUUAGCAGAGUUUGUAACCUGAAGCAUUUGUAACUUGAGGUACCACUGUACAAAGAAUGUGGGCUUUAGAAUCACGUGAUUCUGAAGCAUCUUCCUUGGAAAGAUUUUUUUUUGCUAGACUAAUAAGAUACCCCAGGACCAAAUUUAUGUAAACUUAUUACAGUGUGGGAGACAGGGACAGAUGGGAUGGGAAGAUGGGAAUCUAGUGCAUGAGAUGAAAAACAUGGGCUAUUUCACAUACAUAAUAUCUAAGUGUGUGCUAAAUAAUUAUUUGCAGUGUGAACAACAAAACACAAGAAACAGUAACAAUGAACUAAUCUGCUGGGUAGGCCAUAGAUACAUAUUACUCCACAGUGAACAAAAUGGGCGUGUGUCAUUUGUUUCAACUAUAAUGUGUACAAGUUGUCUAUGAGAAAACAAGAUGAUAAUCUUGCAUCUUUUUACAUCUUUGAAUUCUUCCUUGGCAACAGCAGCACAGAUACCUCCAUAGAAUGUUUCAGAUUUCCUCCCUAUAAUUGCUUUUUAGUGUAAGCAAGAGAUGAGUAGUAACAACAGCAAGAACUACAGGUGGCAGCAAAGUCAUGGCCCUGAGGAAAGUGAUUUGCUAGUAGUAUUUGACUUGGUGCUCAUUUGGCUGAGAAUAUAUUUUUUAUCAAACCAAAUUGGCAACAGUGGCAGAAUAUUGAAAAUCCCAUAUUAAGAUAUUAAGAUAUUAAUCCCAUAUUGAGAUAUGGGCGAAAUAUAAAGGAAAACUGACACCAGUAAAUUACCCACUAAUUCUGGUGGUGAUGAUGAUAAUAAUAAUAAGAAGAAGAAGUUUUUAUUUAUACCCCGCCCUCCCCAGCCAAGGUCGGGCUCAGAGCAGCUUACAAGCAAUAAUAAAAACAAGAUGAAUGAUUACAACUUAAAAACAAAAAUAAAAUAAAAUACAACAUUAAAAUAGAAGACUUCCUAGUAAAUUUAAAUAAGGAAGUUGAAAAAGAAGCAAAAGAGAAGAAAAUAUUCAAAAUAAAGGAAUGGCUGGAAAAAAUGAGAAGCAAAAAAGGAGCUCUAACAUGAAGUAAAAUAACUUGGUUUAACUGUGUACAACUGGAGCAAUGGACAAAGUGGUUAAGGGAAAACAAGAAAUGCAGAGAGCAUACAAUUUUUUAAAAAAUGAUUUUAAAAGGGAGAUGAGGAAAGGGGAAACCAGUAAAAUUUAUAAAAAAUAUUAGUAGAAUCGGAGGAUUAACAAGAUCAACUAAAAGAGGUGUAGAAAAGGAGGUAACAGGUCAGGUAAAUCGUCACAGCUAGGGGAAAAUAUGGGAGAAAUGCAUUCUGAAAAUGAUGUCUGUAAGGUUUAAAGAAAAUUACAAUGAGUUAAUAUGGAGGUGGUAUUUAACACCAGCAAGAUUAAAUCAAAUAAACAAAUAUUCAGUGUUAUGUUGCAGGGGAUGGCAGGAAACUGAGACUUAUGUUCACAUGUGGUGGGGGUAUAAAUACAUACAAAAAUUUUGGCACAGGGUGUUUAAGGAGAUAAGACAAAUCACAGGGUUAAAGCUGAAAGUCCAUUGUUAUCAAUUUUUGACAGGGUAGAAUGUACGUAGGCUAUGAAGGACUUGCUCACAAAUUUAUUAACAGUGGCAUGAGUUGUUAUAGCUACGAAGUGGAAGGGGCAAGAUGGAAGAAUGGUAUAAAGAGGUGGGGGAUAUAGCUAUUAAUGAUAAAUUAAUGUAAGAUGGGGAAUAUGGAGAAAUGAUUUUGAGGAGAUAUUGAACUUAUUUGUAGAAUUUGUACUGUUAAAACAGAAAGGAAUCAAACCAUCUCAAAAAGUGUUAAAAUUUUGGGAGGUUGGAUAGUUACGAUGGGUUGUGGUCUUGGGGGUGGGGUGCACAAUUUUUACUUUUAUUAUUACUUUGUUUAGAAUAUUUUUUUUUAAGUCUACAGAAAAUUUGUCAGUAUUUGCACUGGUAUCCAGGUCUCUUGCAUGUAAUCUGGUGUGAAUGCUGUGGCAGCUUAUUUGCAUCUGUAUUUGUCAACAGCAAUCACAACUGAGCAACUCCAUAUGCUGUUAGAAGCUUAAGCUGUAUCUUCUUCCGUAUGUACCUUUACAGGCAGAGGAGUGAACCUAUUUUCCAUGUGUUGCAAGAUCCCACACUGGAAUGCUGCAUAUGCAAAUGCACAGAAAUGCUUGUGGGCUUCCCAUCUGGUUGGCCAGAGAACAAAAUGGUGGCUUAGAUGGGCCUUUGGUGGGACCCAGCAAGGCCCUUGCUAUGUUUCCAUUGUUGCUAUGAAAAUACUUAUUUAUUUAUAUAAAGUAAGUAUUAAACCAAACCAACUCAAGGAACAGCCAUGCUUUUUAAGAAUGCACAUAGACUUGUGCCCCAAAUGUAAAAGUCCCAACAAAUCUGAUUCUGGGGUUAGCUUAAAAUAUUACUUGAUGGAUUUUACCACAGGUUCUACAGACUUGGGAGUAAUCUUUGCCUUGUGCCACUGAGAAUUAACAAAAGCCUCCUACCAUUGAGCAUUCAUGUCUACUCAGAAGUGGGUUCCACUGACUUCAGUGGGACUUCCAGGUAAGUGUGUUGGUUGCAGCCCUACAGUGCAAUUUUAUGCCCACUCCCUGGACAUGGUGAGACAGAUUUCUGAGUGAACAUGCAUAGGUUCACACUGCACAUUAGUCAUACAGCACAAUCUUAUGUAUGUUUACUUAGAAGUACGGUAAGUCCUACUACUGUAUGUCCGAUAGAACUCUCAUCCCAAUAAACUCUGUUUAGGAUUGCAGCCUACAGCGGAUAAUUUUAUUCUUUGUCAAUCCACCAUUUGUUCUGGCAUCUCUUAUUGUAACCUCAAACCCAUGAACUGAAAACCUAUGGUCCUAUUAGACAUUUACAAGACUGUAGAGGAAACAACCAAGACUGUUUUUUUUUUUACAAGUAUUCUUAUCAAAAUCGGUAUUUUUUUCUGAAAUAAAUGAAGGGUGAUAUGCAAUGAAGUCACACUCAUGAGGACCUAAUGAAACCAACGAGACUACUUCAAGGGUGACUGGUGCUGACCCAAAAGAUGUAACUGUCCCAAAUCCUAGAGAUCAGUAGCCUACCUGUCCG